Molecule: ribosomal RNA, 497 nt
Filed under: uncultured bacterium
Lineage: Bacteria
Description: bacterial SSU rRNA
Rfam family: Bacterial small subunit ribosomal RNA
Source: RNAcentral
UGGGGAAUAUUGCGCAAUGGGGGAAACCCUGACGCAGCCAUGCCGCGUGAGUGAAGAAGGUCUUCGGAUCGUAAAGCUCUUUCAACGGUGAAGAUAAUGACGGUAGCAGGUAAAGAAACCCCGGCUAACUCCGUGCCAGCAGCCGCGGUAAUACGGAGGGGGUUAGCGUUGUUCGGAAUUACUGGGCGUAAAGCGCACGUAGGCGGACCAGAAAGUUGGGGGUGAAAUCCCGGGGGCUCAACCCCGGAACUGCCUCCAAAACUAUUGGUCUAGAGUUCGAGAGAGGUGAGUGGAAUUCCAAGUGUAGAGGUGAAAUUCGUAGAUAUUUGGAGGAACACCAGUGGCGAAGGCGGCUCACUGGCUCGAUACUGACGCUGAGGUGCGAAAGUGUGGGGAGCAAACAGGAUUAGAUACCCUGGUAGUCCACACCGUAAAACGAUGAAUGCCAGUCGUCGGGUAGCAUGCUAUUCGGUGACACACCUAACGGAUUAAGCAUU